CAACCCUCGAACCCCUCCGGGGGGUCGGCGUUGGGGAUCGGCCCUCUACCGGCCGGCCCCGAAAUACAGUGGCGGUCACGCCGCAGCCUCCCCUGCGCAGUAGUUUGCACACUCGCACCGGGAGCGCGGCGCGCCCAAUGCCGUAAAACACCCAACUUUCUGAAGUG
This 167-nucleotide unclassified non-coding RNA is filed under the name uncultured Trichoderma. RNAcentral describes it as "sequence contains ITS2". The record is from RNAcentral. Lineage: Eukaryota; Fungi; Ascomycota; Sordariomycetes; Hypocreales; Hypocreaceae.